Long non-coding RNA from Papaver somniferum (opium poppy), 1006 nucleotides. RefSeq lists it as uncharacterized. NCBI's taxonomy places the organism in Eukaryota, Viridiplantae, Streptophyta, Magnoliopsida, Ranunculales, Papaveraceae. The transcript is spliced from 3 exons. The record is from RefSeq and is a predicted model, not a curated record.
UUUCUUUCACUAGGGUUCUGCUUUUUCAUUUAUUUUUUUCGCUAGGGUUUUUCUUUUUUAUUUCUCAGUUUUUCAAUUAAUAAUAAUGGUGAUUUUUGAUUUGCAGAAUUCUCACUAUGUUGGAUGGAUCAACGCAUGUGAUGAUGCUGUUUUUGUUUUGUGGUAUUUGUGACUGGAAAAACUCAAGAUAGCCUUCUCCUUCAGAAACAACUUAUAGGUUUUUUUUAUUUCCAGAAAAUGAUGAUGCAAAAACGCAACGUAUAGAUCUGGUGAUUUUUUGUUUUUUUUGUUUGUUCUGUUCUGUUUUGUAUUUUAUUUUAUUUUUUUGUUAUGCUCUCUGCAAGGUUCCAUUAUCAGUAUUAGAAUCAAGAGAAAUUUUUUUUAAAAGCGCCCUGAUCAACUCCUAGAUCCCCGGGAACCAGCAUUUAACCCGCACCAAAUGUGCAAGUUUCUUCUUUUAUCGUGCUCCGGUGAGAACAUUAUAAUUCAAGCACCAAAUGGUCCAGUUUCUUCUUCUUACUUCCCACGAUGAGCGGAGAGGACAAUAUAAUCCAAGAUCAGUAGAAAAGAUUCCACAAGCCUAUAGGUGUUGAUGGCUGCGGUAACGGCACGGGAGGUCAUGAGAAUCGAUACUAAUCAUUUUUGAAGCUUCGUGUUGUUGGUGAUACUGUUAAGGGUUUCUUCGAAUACAACUGAACUAGAUGCUCUCUAAUUUCUCAAUUUGGGUUCUUAGUUAUUGGGUUAGAUAUUAAGGAGUUCGAUUAUAUUUAUAUUUAUGUUUGUUAAAAUCUGCGGGCAUCCAACUCAAAAUCAAUUGGAAAUGAAUGGAGCGUCCCUUCCAUAUUAUAUUUAAGUUAAUUAAGCGAAUUCUAGAAAUGUGUGAUUAUUGUCCUUUCACACGCCCCCUCACUCGACCUACCACGUGGACCUACGUACGAGUAACCAGUCAAUCGGUAAUAGGUGUACAGGUGAGUGAUUAAAUCGGAGGGUAACACCUCAGCCAGUA